AGCAGCCGCGGUAAUUCCAGCUCCAAUAGCGUAUAUUAAAGUUGUUGCAGUUAAAAAGCUCGUAGUUGAAUUUCGGGGUCAGUAGUUUGGUCGUGCCAAUGGUAUGUACUGGGCUCACUGAUUCCUCCUUCCUGAUGAACUGUAAUGCCAUUAAUUUGGUGUUGCAGGGAAACUGGACUGUUACUUUGAAAAAAUUAGAGUGUUUAAAGCAAGCUAACGCUUGAAUACAUUAGCAUGGAAUAAUGAAAUAGGACGUUCGAUCCUAUUUCGUUGGUUUUUAGGAUUGACGUAAUGAUUAAUAGGGAUAGUUGGGGGCAUUAGUAUUCAAUUGUCAGAGGUGAAAUUCUUGGAUUUAUUGAAGACUAACUACUGCGAAAGCAUUUGUCAAGGAUGUUUUCAUUAAUCAAGAACGAAAGUUAGGGGAUCGAAGACGAUCAGAUACCGUCGUAGUCUUAACCAUAAACUAUGCCGACUAGGGAUCGGAUGAUGUUAAUUUUUAAUGACUCAUUCGGCGCCUUAA
Molecule: ribosomal RNA, 520 nt
Filed under: uncultured Glomus
Lineage: Eukaryota; Fungi; Glomeromycota; Glomeromycetes; Glomerales; Glomeraceae
Description: SSU rRNA
Rfam family: Eukaryotic small subunit ribosomal RNA
Source: RNAcentral